GAAGUGAGCUAGACGAUCGCUGCUGCGUAGAUCUUCGUGAUUGAAACAGGGGAGGAAAGUCCGGGCUUCAUAGGGCAGGGUGCCAGGUAACGCCUGGGCGGCGAAAGCCGACGGCAAGUGCAGCAGAGAGGAGACCGCCAUUUUGCAACUGAUCUUCGGGUCAGCCUAGAAAAUGGUAAGGGUGAAAGGGUGCGGUAAGAGCGCACCGCGUGUCUGGUAACAGUUCACGGCAAGGUAAACCCCACCAGAAGCAAGACCAAAUAGGAAUCCAUUAGGCACGGCCCGUGCUGGAUUCGGGUAGGUCGCUUGAGCGUACGAGUGAUUGUACGCCUAGAGGAAUGAUCGUUCACGACAGAACCCGGCUUAUCGGCUCACUUCAUCA
Acinetobacter sp. TGL-Y2 is the source of this 382-nucleotide non-coding RNA. It matches the Rfam family "Bacterial RNase P class A". Rfam says of the family: Ribonuclease P (RNase P) is a ubiquitous endoribonuclease, found in archaea, bacteria and eukarya as well as chloroplasts and mitochondria. The record is from Rfam. Lineage: Bacteria; Pseudomonadati; Pseudomonadota; Gammaproteobacteria; Moraxellales; Moraxellaceae.